RNAcentral lists this ribosomal RNA (468 nucleotides) under uncultured bacterium. RNAcentral describes it as "partial 16S ribosomal RNA". It matches the Rfam family "Bacterial small subunit ribosomal RNA", at positions 28 to 507 of the family's 1533-position model. The record is from RNAcentral.
GACGAACGCUGGCGGCGUGCUUAACACAUGCCAGUCGAACGGAAAGGCCCUGCUUUUGUAGGGUGCUCGAGUGGCGAACGGGUGAGUAACACGUGAGUAACCUGCCCUUGACUUUGGGAUAACUUCAGGAACCUGGGGCUAAUACCGGAUAGGAGCUCCUGCUGCAUGGUGGGGGUUGGAAAGUUUCGGCGGUUGGGGAUGGACUCGCGGCUUAUCAGCUUGUUGGUGGGGUAGUGGCUUACCAAGGCUUUGACGGGUAGCCGGCCUGAGAGGGUGACCGGCCACAUUGGGACUGAGAUACGGCCCAGACUCCUACGGGAGGCAGCAGUGGGGAAUAUUGCACAAUGGGCGGAAGCCUGAUGCAGCAACGCCGCGUGCGGGAUGACGGCCUUCGGGUUGUAAACCGCUUUCGCCUGUGACGAAGCGUGAGUGACGGUAAUGGGUAAAGAAGCACCGGCUAACUACGUG